GCUCGGAUGGUGGAACUGGAAUACACAAGAGACUUAAAAUCUCUCGCCCAUAGGGCGUGCCGGUUCGAUUCCGGCUGGACGCACCA
Molecule: transfer RNA, 86 nt
Filed under: Pusillimonas sp.
Lineage: Bacteria; Pseudomonadati; Pseudomonadota; Betaproteobacteria; Burkholderiales; Alcaligenaceae
Description: tRNA-Leu
Rfam family: tRNA
About the family: Transfer RNA (tRNA) molecules are approximately 80 nucleotides in length. Their secondary structure includes four short double-helical elements and three loops (D, anti-codon, and T loops).
Source: RNAcentral